This 1679-nucleotide long non-coding RNA is filed under the name Homo sapiens (human). RNAcentral's name for it is "HSALNT0324746". The record is from RNAcentral. Lineage: Eukaryota; Metazoa; Chordata; Mammalia; Primates; Hominidae.
AAAAGAGUGCUUCCACAUUAAAUCAAGAAAGACACACACACAAGUGAACUGGAAGAGUAUCACACCCUCUUAGGCCUCAAUGUCCACAACAUCACUGGCCACAGCUUUUAGUUUCAGGAGGUGAGAUAUGAAAACAAACCUAAUGGGCAAAGCAGAUCUAAACAGGGUAAGACCUGGAGCCCCGGCCCCAUGCAGCCUGCAGAAGGUGAGUGAGGUCGGCCUCCCCUCAUUCCACAGUUGCCUCUUUCCAGAGACCCUGGGUGUCUGGAGGGAUAUAGAGUGAUGUGGCCAGGCGCUGUGCCCGGGGAAAUGACAUUAAAAUUAGUAAUAGUAGGGGAAAAAAAAGAAAUACUUUCCUUUACAGACAACAGAAUGCAACUUGAGGCAAACCAUUCUAUACAUACAGUCUCAGAAACGAUUCCAGAUUUCCGACCUGCGUGUUUUGUUUCUUUGUUUGUUUAUGUCAAGACUUUACAAUUUGCCAUGAAUCAAAAACACACAUGAGCUCAGGGGAUAGAAAGAAAUAUUCAGAAAGAGUCUGAGUGGAAUUUGGAUUAGGAUGGGUGUUUUUUGGCUCCGAGUCCUGUGUCCAAGUGACAGCUGCUGUGCCAUAAUAAUAGAUCAGCUUACAAUACGUAGAUAUAGACAGGCAGACAAUAGACAAUCUGUGUAUGAAACAGGCUGCCUAAAAAUGCUGAUUAUCUAAAAGCUUGUGAGCCUAGGUCAUCAAAGCCAUCUCACCAGGUGAGUGUUCACUCUUCCCUCAGCGGGCCCUCCCAGAAGUCAUGUUAAGCAGUUUCUGACGGUAUUCAUAUUUUAAUCCUCAGAAGCCCUGGAGGCUCUCACCUCCCACUUCAGGCUGCCCAAAGUCACAGAGCCUGUGACUCCAGGACUCAUCUUUCUACAAACGCUUUGGUUGGCCAGCGCUUCCUUUUACCGUCAGCCGCCCCUGCCCGGGACACUUGCAGAUCAGGGGACUUUGUGGGUCUCAUUGAGGCUGUAUUUGCGGAUUCAAUUACGCAUUUUUAAUUCCGCAAAUAUUUGCCACUGCUGCCUGACCUGGAGCCUGUGUGGCCAGAUCCUUUGAUCGAAAGCCGUCUGCCUGUGGAUCAGACCCUGUGAGAAGAAAAUGACAGGAGCAGAAGGUCAAAGGGAAGCAUCGAGAGAAAGAGGAUGAAUUGACACCUGUGGCUAAUUGAAGUGAAAUCAGAUCACAGAGGCCAUGAGACCCACGUCCAGAGGGCCCUAGGAGGGAGCUGUGGGCUCAGCUGGUUGAUUUACUCUGGCUUGGGUCGCUGCUACUGCUUUGAGGACAAUAAGCUUGGCCAUCACCAGACACCAGAGGAUGCUGAAGGGACAGCCGGCUAGACUAUUUCAUGGACUCUCUGAGCAUGUCCUAUUGCAGUCCAGGUACAAACUUUUCCUCCAGAAAUAGACAGAGGGAUGCUGCUUCCCAAUUUCAGCAAAGGCAGUGGAAAGAUCCCGGUCAAAAGUAGAAACUCUGGGUCCAGGCCUUCCAGCUGACACUCACUCUGAUAUGGUUUGGCUGUGUUCCCACCCAAAUCUCAACUUGAAUUGUAUCUCUCAGAAUUCCCACGAGUUGUAGGAGGGAUCCAGGUGGAGGUAAUUGAAUCAUGGGGUGGGUCUUUCCCAUGCUAUUCUCGUGAUAGUGAAUAAGU